This 497-nucleotide ribosomal RNA is filed under the name uncultured bacterium. Its description in RNAcentral is "partial 16S ribosomal RNA". It matches the Rfam family "Bacterial small subunit ribosomal RNA", at positions 28 to 507 of the family's 1533-position model. The record is from RNAcentral.
GAUGAACGCUGGCGGCGUGCCUAAUACAUGCAAGUCGAGCGAACGGACGAGAAGCUUGCUUCUCUGAUGUUAGCGGCGGACGGGUGAGUAACACGUGGAUAACCUACCUAUAAGACUGGGAUAACUUCGGGAAACCGGAGCUAAUACCUGAUAAUAUUUUGAACCGCAUGGUUCAAAAGUGAAAGACGGUCUUGCUGUCACUUAUAGAUGGAUCCGCGCUGCAUUAGCUAGUUGGUAAGGUAACGGCUUACCAAGGCAACGAUGCAUAGCCGACCUGAGAGGGUGAUCGGCCACACUGGAACUGAGACACGGUCCAGACUCCUACGGGAGGCAGCAGUAGGGAAUCUUCCGCAAUGGGCGAAAGCCUGACGGAGCAACGCCGCGUGAGUGAUGAAGGUCUUCGGAUCGUAAAACUCUGUUAUUAGGGAAGAACACAUGUGUAAGUAACUGUGCACAUCUUGACGGUACCUAAUCAGAAAGCCACGGCUAACUACGUG